UGGAUCCUGGGAAACACUCUGCCCCUCUCCUGGAAAGCAGGCUGGGGGAAGGGAUGAACCUUAGCCUCAGCAGGGAGAAGGAGGCUUUGUGUGUUGAGGGAGGUUCUGGGGUGGUGUGCUUAGAGCUCCCGCUGCGCCCAGAGGGCUAAGGAGUGAGCGUUAGGCUACCCCUCCUCCCCAGGCCACCUUUUACGCUUUUUUUUCUUGCUAGAGAGUAAAGACUCCAGCUGCCAGGACAUUCCCUUAUCAACUUCCUGGGCCUUCCCACAGCCUCCAACAACAUUCCCAAGAGAGCUUGAAUGAGCAUGGACUAUCCCAUUUAAACCAAUGAUUUUAUAAAGGUACAGGAGCAAGGAAGAUGGCUUGUUAAUCACAGAGACCUGACCCACUCCUGUGCAAAGCUUUCCACAUAUUACAUUAUAUAUUAGGCCUAUUAGCACACUAUUUAACUCUUCCAUUAAAUUAUCCAAUAAAAAUAGAAGAACUAGAGGUUUGGUGAAGGAGAACAGAUUGUCACCACAAAAUAUGUCCCUUUGGCAAAAGGAUCAUUUUGAGUUGAAGGCAAUCAAAACCCAAGCAGAUUCAGGAAAAGCUGUUUACAUCCCUCUCAACUGCCUAAAUUUACACUGGAAAGGGGGCCUGUACCAGGAAGAGAGUUGGCGACAAUGAAGGAAGCUUCAUUGGCUGGACAUUGCUCCUUUCAGGACUGCUGCAGCUGAGAGAUCCUGGCCCUCUGACAAAUGCUGGCAGAAGAGUUCCCAGAAGCCUUACCAGGUGAAUAAAGAAGGUCACUUCCUGGCAAGUGCAAGA
Molecule: long non-coding RNA, 810 nt
Organism: Manis javanica (Malayan pangolin)
Lineage: Eukaryota; Metazoa; Chordata; Mammalia; Pholidota; Manidae
Source: RefSeq, a predicted model, not a curated record